RNAcentral lists this ribosomal RNA (253 nucleotides) under uncultured bacterium. RNAcentral's name for it is "partial 16S ribosomal RNA". It matches the Rfam family "Bacterial small subunit ribosomal RNA", at positions 524 to 776 of the family's 1533-position model. The record is from RNAcentral.
UACGGAGGGUGCAAACGUUGCUCGGAAUCAUUGGGCGUAAAGCGCACGUAGGCGGCGCGUUAAGUCGGGUGUGAAAGCCCUGGGCUCAACCCAGGAAGUGCAUUCGAAACUGGCGCGCUUGAAUAUGGAAGAGGGUCGCGGAAUUCCCGGUGUAGAGGUGAAAUGCGUAGAGAUGCGGAGGAACACCGAUGGCGAAGGCAGCCCCCUGGGCUGACACUGACGCUCAGGCACGAAAGCGUGGGGAGCAAACAGG